Molecule: ribosomal RNA, 460 nt
Filed under: uncultured bacterium
Lineage: Bacteria
Description: partial 16S ribosomal RNA
Rfam family: Bacterial small subunit ribosomal RNA
Source: RNAcentral
CCUACGGGAGGCAGCAGUGAGGAAUAUUGGUCAAUGGACGCAAGUCUGAACCAGCCAUGCCGCGUGCAGGAUGACGGCUCUAUGAGUUGUAAACUGCUUUUGUACGAGGGUAAACUCAGAUACGCGUAUCUUUCUGAACGUAUCGUACGAAUAAGGAUCGGCUAACUCCGUGCCAGCAGCCGCGGUAAUACGGAGGAUUCAAGCGUUAUCCGGAUUUAUUGGGUUUAAAGGGUGCGUAGGCGGUCGGAUAAGUUAGAGGUGAAAUCCCGAGGCUCAACUUCGGAAUUGCCUCUGAUACUGGUCGGCUAGAGAGUAGUUGCGGUAGGCGGAAUGUAUGGUGUAGCGGUGAAAUGCUUAGAGAUCAUACAGAACACCGAUUGCGAAGGCAGCUUACCAAGCUACGUCUGACGUUGAGGCACGAAAGCGUGGGGAGCAAACAGGAUUAGAUACCCCAGUAGUC